UGCAAACGUAAUCAGCAUCAAACAUGGGUAUCCCAGGCAACACCAACACAAACACUCAUCAGGGAUAGCCCAGUCCAGCUCAAUAUAGCGCCGCUUUUCAUGCCAGAGGACACCUUUUCUUUGCUCAGAAUAAAAUCUUGUUUUACUCAUGGAUAAUCUGUGUUAACUCAUGCGACCCCCAGAUGAGUUCAGGAUCACACCAUGUAAUCUGUCCCAUCUCAAAGCAUACAUUUGAGGAACUGUCUGGGACUCCUCUUCCGCACAGGGCAUCAAUUUUUCCAGACAGCUGAAAAUUAAUAGCUACUAUGAUUCAAGCGAGUAAUUCUUGUGAAACCAGCUCCGGGGAUGUUGCCUAGCAAAACAAAUUCUGUCAGCAUAGCCUCGUGCUCUGACGUGAUACCUAAUACGUGAGACUAUGUAUAAAAACCAGGAAGCAAUCCAAGGGAAACGGUACAUUUUAGCUCUGCUACAGGUCAUAUACAGAAUACAGUGAUGCAGAAAACCAUUCCUGGCUGCUUUUUCCAGCAAAUGUAUUCUUCCCUAACUGGCAUUUCCAUGGAGAGAGAUCACAUGAAAGAUCUCAGGCGAUACCUGGCACUGAAAUACAUCCAAUACCUUGUCCUGUCUUCUUCAAAUACGGUCAGCACUUUCCUGGGCCUGCUGGGCAGUCUGUACGCGAUAAUCAUCCUGCAGUCUACAAAGGUUUCAUCCAAGUCCACCACGGUUCUAAUUUCAAGCCUAGCGAAGGCAGACAUCCUGGUUGCUGCUAGCGUUGUUACGGAGAUGGUCGUACAGACCUUUGACAUUAAUAUCGCGUCUACAGCGUUCACACCAGCCCUGCUGCAGAACCUCCUCGCUGCAAACACACACAUCAGCUGCUUGCUGCUAAGCUGUGUUGCCUUCGAGGCGUACUUGAUAACCUUUUUCCCCACGGAGUCUCGACAGUUACGGACGGUGAGAAACGCCAGGCUGAUGUCCAGCACCAUCUGGAUCCUGGUGAUGGCAGAGUGCGCCCUGUUCCAGGCAGAUGACCUCCUGCAGGCCAGCAGCACUGCUGCUCCCACCCACAGCCCUUACGUUGUGUUGUUCCACUUCUCCAGCACGGCCGCAGCCCUGCUCAGGUCCCUCAGUUACCUCCUGGGGAUUCUUUUAAGGAUUGUCAAUGUAUACAUCUACUACAAAAUAUUUUUUAGCAUGUCCAACAGAUCUACACUAAAAAAAAGCAGCGCCCGUUCCCCGUGGAAGCAGUGACACCAAAGAGGAGAUACUUCAGCACAGUUUGAAACUACUGGUUUGAAAACUGUUCUACAACCAAGCUCGUUUUGGCACAGCACGGCGUUUAAACCUCCCUGGUUUAUGAUGGUAUUUAGCUUUGGAUGUUGAGAGGAGCUUGGAGGGGUCGAGGAGCCCCUUGGGACUGGGACACGAGCGCUGGGCUGUGGGUGCUCAGGCUGACUGACAGCCUUAGAGCGCCCCAGGCUUGCUUUGAUAGUUCUCCACGUAGAGUUCGUUCGUUGUUCAGGUGAAACAAAUGGCAUGUCACGAAUGGCUGUAAAAACUAAAGCAACGUAAACAUUUGUUAUAUAAAAAGGGUGCUUAGAGGCUUACUCAGGGACCUGUUGAGCCAAGACCUAUAGGGUUGUCUACUAAAGAGAUGAUCUAUGUCCUAAAAUAUCUCUAAUUCAGGUGACUCACCAGUUAGGAUGGAGAACGGGUAGGAUUGAGAGAGAAGAUGAGGACCAAGCUGACCUAGCCCAGCUGGGCUUGUCCCACAGCCCCACCACGAGAGUCCCCAGGACAGAGCAGGGCUGAGCGGCCACACCUCACUGCAGACUUGGAGCUAUUUUUGGGAGGUGGCUACAACACAGAAAUAAACAGCUUCUCUCACAUUCAGAAAUAAACAGGACAUGGAAAGUCAGAAUGCAGCUAUUUGCUGCACCCCUGUGAGAGGGGAGAGGGUUUGAGAAAGCCCUUCUGCUGAAGGCUCCAUGUGCUGUACCCAGGAGGGUCUGUGAUAUCAGUGGCUGUGGUUUCGGAGGCAGAGAGGGAUGCCCUGGCCUUAGCAGAGCUGCUCCAGCUCCCUCGGUGGCGGUGCAGAAAACCAGGGCCAUGCAUGUCCCUCAGUGGUGCUCAAGUGUAUGUAUAACAGAGCUGUUACCCAGGUGGUGAUUCCUGGGGUCUCCUCAAAACACUAAUAGCUUAUCAGCAGAACAUAAGGUACUCCAGAUACCUCAGAUGCUCCCCAAUGCACAAGUGGACGUAGGUACUUCCAGUUACUCUCGCGCUCUUACAUGGGAGGUGCCCUCCAACUUCAAUUAAAGACUGGGCUUUGGAGAGACUGAACUUCUGUGAUAAGUUCUGCAACCCACAGAUCAUAAAAGGUGGAAAGAAAAGUGAAAUAAGACAAACCCCCAUGUAUUAAUAACCAAGCCACUACGUACAGCCUCCCUCUGUCAUGCUUCCAGAACUUCAGUAUACCUUGCCAGCUUGAACACAGCAACAAGCCUCUGCCUACUUGGGAAGAAGAAAGAUGUGGGGCACAAAACCCAAGCAUGAUGAAUUUCAGCUCUAACCCUCUCUCCUUCAGCCUGCAGUAGGUCCUCACACUCAAACUGGUACCAGCGAAUGCCUGACGUGCCCUGCUGGCAGCGGUUGCCUGGCACUUAGACUAUUGGAGCUGAAAGUUGGAGCUGUGACCACUUUCCUGAGCGGUCUGCAAGCCAAGGUGGGCAGAGGCACAGGCGCUAUCAGUUGAAGAUCAGGCUUCACAAACCCAAGGCAAACAGCAAGUGCAGAGUUUCCUGCUCUUUGCUCGGCUCACCAACCAGUUUCUAAAUGUCACAAUCACACUUUUUGCAACUGGUCUCAAAAAUGCUUUUUCCUCCUUCUCUAAGAUGAACUUGACUGGAAGGGAACACCCAGAAAAGGGGCAGUGAAACUGGGUGCACCCGCCGUGCUGCAGGCAGGAGGCAGCCGGCAGCGAGAGGACCAUCUCUCCUCGGGACUGUCUGCAGGUUUUAACACCUCAGAUAAAGUGAGCAGCGUCUUAGUGAGAGGCAAAUAUCCCAGGCUGAGAAGUGUGCAUCUCGCAUCGGGAUCUCAGAGAUCGCUCAAGGGAGUCUUUUCUGACACGGACUCCAACAAUAAUGUUUUUUACAUGACUGUAUGCAGUUUAAUAUCUCCAGAGUUGUUUUAGAGAUCCUUCCUGCUUCUUUUCCUCCUUCUCUUUAUGUUCCUUCUUGAUCUUUGCUACCAUAUCUAAGAACAGGCUGCACCUUGGCUUCUACAUCAAACCCCAAGCACUAAUAAUGCAGCUGUACUUGUCUGGCUCUAAGAUUAAAGUGCUGAGCUCUUACUGCUGCUGAAAUCUUUAAAAAUAUCCCAAUCCCUCUGGCUGCUAUAACAAAAAACUAUGAAUAUUAUUAUUAUUUGAGUUCACAGAAUUUAUCUGUGUAUGUGCAGGUAUUUAUGAUGAAUGUUGGCAGUGCCAGAGAUGCUGCAGACAGUGCAGGGUCAGAAGUGAGUGACGAGUGUUUGCCACUGCUUCUGAGAAGACCGAAAAGAACCACCACUGAGGGAUGGGUUCUUAGAAAAAGAAGAACAGAAAGGUAAUCAAGUUCAUAAAAAAACUAAUGAUGCAAUCCCUUAAAUUCGGAUGCUGCCCAGCAGAGCUGAUUCCUGCUGCGAGAAGGAUGUCUCCAGAAUUUGGUGCCCUGAGAAAACUGUUCUUAUUCUGGCAGCUUCAAAUGCCAUUUUCAGAGGAGACGAAAUGUUACUUGAAGUACUGUAAUUAAUAAAUUUUGUUUUGUUAAAGAGUGUGUUAUUUAUGACGAACAUGUGCUCUUCCUGAGGAUCUGCUUUUUGGCUCCUCCUAUGGAAGCCCAUGCAGAAGGCUGAGUGUCCACAAGUGGACUGGAACUCUCUUUAGGACACAAGGCAGCCAGGAUUUUUUAUCUUUGAAUUCACCACUCAGGAUCAUAAAAUCUUGGAAUCAUUGAGGUUGGAAAAGCCCUCCGAGCUCAUCCAGUCCAACCAUCAGCCCAGCCCCACCGUGCCUGCUAAAGCAUGUCCUGAAGGGCCACACGGUUUUUGAAGCCCGUGGGGGAUGGAGACUCCAGUCCUGCCCUGGGCAGCCUCUGCCAGGGCUUCACCACCCUUUAAAGACAUUUUUCCCAAUGUCCAAUCUAAACAUACCCUGGUGCGAUCUGAGGCCAUUUCUUCUCAUCCUAUCAUUUGUUACUUGGGAGAAGAGAUCAACUCUGGGUGCUUCCCGACCCUCGCAGGAAAUCAUUUCUCCCUCAAUCUCCCCUCUUUCAGCUGAAAACCGUUCCCCGCGUCCUCCCCUGCACCAAAUGGCUGAGAGACGCUGCUGUAGCCUUGUAUCUCCUGUCCUACAUCUAAGCAGGAGAAAGCAAACUGGUUUUUGCUGUUGAACGUUUACCAGAAGCCUGACCCCAUCACACCCACUUCUGAUCACCUUCUCAAACAGAAAGGAAAUGAACCUUCCACAGGAUGAUAAAAAUGAUAAAUAGAAAGCAUUUUCUUUCCCCUGUCAGCAGAAAGCUACCAGGCAGUUUGAAGCUCCAGGAUUUACCCAUAGUUUCAGUGUGGAGCUCAUGUUUGGUGCGGAGUGGAGACCCUCUUCCCCAGGGCUGAAAACAUGCUUUGUGCAGCGAGGGAUUGAAAUCAGUCCCAGUGAGACUGAGGAGGCUUUGGCUUCUCCUUGUGCUGCAGAACUUUAUGCACACAACAGCUCACCCCUGAGCAUGACCCACCGCCAGUGCUCCUCCUGCCAGCAGGUGGGUUUUCUGGGCCAUGAACUGGCUGGAAGGGACGAUGCUCUGCAAAGAAGUCCCUGCUCUGCGCCCACAUCUGAGGCAGCAGAUUGGGUUGCCGAGAGAUUUGCAUAGCUGGAAUCCCCAGAGCUCUUUGCAGUUGAUGUCAGACCCGCUGCUCUCUUUGUUUGUACCCUCAUCUGAAGUUUCACAUUUGUUUAAAGAAAGGGGAUUUCUCUACAGCUCUAUGAAUACACAUCGGCUAUUUUUUUUUUUCUUCCCUUGAAGCACAGUUUCCGAGGCGAUUCAGGCUGGUUCCUGAGCCAGCGCUCCUGAUUGUGCACACAGCUGUGGCUACGAGGCCAGGUCACUGCGAGAGCUUCACAGUCCCAUGUGUCCUCACCACGAGCCUGGAGCUAUUUUCUGCACAAGAAGACCACAGCACUUCUUCUCCUGGUUUCAUGGGCACUGCAAACACUGCUGUCCUUUCGGGUGGCUGAGGAAGCGCAGUCCAUCCUCUUCCUGACCGCAGAAGCCUUUUCUGGGGUGCAGGGAAGAGGAACCCAUCCCUCUUCUGCAAACCAACAGGAACAGCCCAAGGAAGACACAGCUGGGAGGAUGUAGUCCAGCGUGGGCAACUGCAGGAAGGCAUUUGCAUCUUGCAUUAGCCGUGUCCUGCCCUUCGCACAGCCCCUGCGCAACCAAGAGGGGAAUUCUCUGCCUGGGGAGAGCGAGGAAGCACCGAGCCCUGGCAAGGAGGCACCUCUGCUAAACAGGGAUGGCUCAGGGCAUGCCCUGUCCUCCCCUCUGAGACCACCUGCAAGCACCUUUACCUCCAACUGCACACGUACCUGUGGGUACCAGACCUUCGGUUUGCAUGCGGUGGGGAUGGUGGAUUCUGAGACCUGAAGAUGCAACAGAAGUCAAAAUUUUUUUCCUAUGAGGGUGGGGAGGCCCUGGCCCAGGUUGCCCAGAGCAGUGGUGGCUGCCCCAUCCCUGGAGGGGUUCCAGGCCAGGUUGGAUGGGGCUCGGAGCCCCUGAUCCAGUGGGAGGUGUCCCUGCCCAUGGCAGGGGGUGGGGCUGGGUGGGCUUUGAGGUCUCUUCUAACCCAAACCAUUCUGUGAUGAUUCUAUGAUUUUGGGAGCCAAUCUAAAAUGCUUCCAGAGCUUUAAAAAGAGUAAGACCUGCUGAAGCAGAUCAGGCAGUGCUUUUAAGGGCUUUCCAAGUGAUGUGAGGCCCAGAGGUCCACGGUCAAUGGCAGAAAGUCCACAGCAGAUCUUAUAAAAACUAUAAACCAUGUGGCCAGGUGUACGGUCAGUGAUGGACUGGGAAGGAGUUUUAAACAAAAACAAACACCACGAGAUGAGCGCAAGCUGGUGGUGGUGUAGAAAGCAGGGUGGACAGUCCUGGACUGUGUUUGCAUCAUUAUUAAGGAAAGAAUGGAACUUUUCUCAUGCCUUUGCUGGGAAAUCUCUUCCAAAACCAGACUGAUAAUAAUCCAGGGAGCCAUUUCUGAGAAGGGAGCAGUCAGAAAUGGAAGUAUUUUUCUACAACCAAGUAAUCUUUCAGAGAUCUACUUUCUUAAGCACUGAAAGCCAGACAAAAAGGCUUUAGUUUAGGCCUCGCACAGCACAAAUGAGCAGAUUAAACUGAAGAGAUGGAUUUGUUCCCUGCAGCAAGUUAUGUUUGACAUUGAGUUGUGGUGGAAAAUGUUGCUCUUUUGACAUCAAUGCCUCAAAAUUCUGAAAAACGAGGAGGAAUUGCAUUCCUUCUAGCAGAUGUUGGCUCCAAAAUAUUUUAAUUCACAGAAAUUUCUCCAAAUUACAUUUUAAAUAGCUCUGAGCUGUUUGAUAAUGAAACCAGUGCUUUCAAAAGUGCAGAAGAUAUUUCGGCACUGUGGCUCUGGGCCAGGAGCAGUCGGCAGCACGAGAUGCUCGCUGGAGAGGCAGCCAGACCCUUUGCACGGUGCUGAGCCGCCCCGGUCGCAAGAAGGACACGGCGUUCUCCGAUGCAGGCUGCUUUUGGGAUUCCUGGUUCUGCACACUUGUUCCUUUUUACUGUAUCAUUUCUGAUAUCGCUUCUAGCAGGUUAGUCACCAUUCUCAUUUGCACAUCGUGCCCUCUGCUGGGAAAGCAAUGGCUUAGGCCAACUGAAACAAAAAAUCUCCUGCUUGACUCUGACUUAGCAGAAGUCACGGCCGCUUCAGACCCAGUCCCACCUUUCUGUCCACCACACCAGACCCUUGCAUGCUGCAACUAUGCCAAAUAAACCCUCUGGAACUGAUUAUCCCCUCCCUUUCCCUAAGGAUUAUUGGAGUUAGGGCAAGCAAUUACACUUCUACAGAGCUAAAGAAGAAAUCGCUCCAGGUCUGGCCCUGCUGCAGGUUCCUGCUCGUCAUAACAGCACGACAAUAUGUUCAUAACUGAAGAUGAAAAGUGAAUGCUCAGGGUGUGAGUGUGAGCUCGUGCAGGCAGGGGUCAGAACGGGGCUCUUGCCGCACCCCACAGAUCUUGCGUUUUUGCAAGGGAUGCUGCUGUAAGUGAAAUCAUGCACAACGUGGGUCGCACAGUCGGGGCAGGGACUGCGCAAAGCUCCCUCGAUGACAUAUGGUUUUCAAUUUAACAGGAGCUUACCGGGGUAUCAGGUGACACCGUGACUCAAAAGUCACCCCACGGCUUGACAUCUGCAAGAAAAAGUGCUCAAUUCCAGCCCCUGACCCAGUACUCCCGAAAUCCUGGACAUAUAUCUUACUAUAGAAUCAAGGGAAAACCAUAUUGCAGCUACAGAUGAGGCACCAGGAGCCAUACCGAGGGAGUCAAGCAGUGCAUUCAGGCACACGAGGCUGUGAGGAUGCAACAGGGAUGGGAAGGACCGCAAUCCAUCCAAGCAGAAGGGGAUGAGCUCUGCUUGCUGGUUGAAUGGGUGUAAACUCCCUCCACGUUAAUCAUGACAUACAAGAUACGCUCUGAUAAUGAACAACUGGCCAGAACUCACUGGAAAGCCUCACCGAUUGAAUGUGCCAAAAAGCAGCUCUUCCGGAGCCCCUGACCGCAACGCACCCUCUGCGGGAAGCUCGCAGCCCGUGACACGGUGAGCUGCGUUGCCACAGCUUACAGGACCUCCAAGCGAGCCCCAAAAUAGAGGAACUGAUGGUAGAACUUCCUUAACGUCUCCUGGUUACUUCUCUGUAUUUACUUUCCCUUGCAGCCCAGGAUGAGCCCCACAGCCGGAUCACCAGGAAACCCCAGAAAGAGGUCCUGCAUGUCACCCGUUUCAAUGGCAGCCAAACUGCGAUGGAGAGGUGAUGCUGAUGAAGGAGCCCUUACUGACACGGCUUCAAGGGUUGCUCUGGGCCACAGGAACAGGUUUAACAGCAGGUCCCAGAGCAGCUGUGCCCGAGCAAGCUUUGCCCCCUCGCACUGCCCUUGGUGCCCCGGGCAGGGAGGCUCCACUUGCCGAGGGUCCUGCCUGUUAGAGGAAAAAUCCAGCAGCUCAACGUGACCCAGGCUCUCACCCCUGUCCACCUGGCAAUGAAAACACAUUACCAUUCCAAAAAGCAGGACAGCUUUAUAAUACAUUAUUCGUUUGCCUUGCCCACCUGUUUGGUUGAGAGGGACAAAGUGUAAUUAAGCUUAAUUCGAGAGCUUUGAGGAUGAAGAUGGGGAUGCUGUGCACUUGCUCCUGUCAGUUCUUACAUGGUGGUAGAAUGCGUAUAAAAACAAUAAAUAGCACAUAUGAAAUAAUAAAAUGUUUAGGUCCAUGGCUUCACAUCCCCACUGCAGCGCAUUGGGAGGGACAGAGAUGAGCGCUUCCCUGAGCAGUGCAGCACUGCCCUGCCUGUUACCGACAAUUUAACUCACGGCACCGAUCCAUGGAGCCCAGCCUGUGACAAAGCCGAGCCCAUCUCCGUUCGCUGCUGCACCACACAAAUGAUUUAUAACAUUUAAAACUGGAGAUGGGACAGACUAUAGACUGCAAUUCCUCUUUUUCCUCCCUCUGAUCUCUGUAUAUUCCUGAAAUUAGGCUGGACAGGCACCCAAACCAGCAGCAUGUGUUUCUCCUUUCAG
Long non-coding RNA from Cuculus canorus (common cuckoo), 8842 nucleotides. RefSeq lists it as uncharacterized. The record is from RefSeq and is a predicted model, not a curated record. NCBI's taxonomy places the organism in Eukaryota, Metazoa, Chordata, Aves, Cuculiformes, Cuculidae. The transcript has 3 exons.